This is a long non-coding RNA of Amphiprion ocellaris (clown anemonefish), 626 nucleotides long. NCBI's taxonomy places the organism in Eukaryota, Metazoa, Chordata, Actinopteri, Pomacentridae. The record is from Ensembl.
AUUGAGACAAGGAAACUUGGAAUGACUUUUCAUAGGUUUCCCAGAGACUAUGGGUUGAAGAGGAAUUGGAAGUUUGUCGGCUUAGACCUGGUGUCAUUCCAUCAGUGUUAAACUUCCCGGCUCAUCUUGGAAGAGUACGUACCAGAAAGACCACAACCAAGCAGCCUUGAGAUCUUAGGCAGCGUCUCCCUGAGGUCCCUCUCUAUCUCCCCACACAUCCACCAACCACUGGAACACAUCUCCAAAGUUCUGCCGGGCCAGCUCAGCUUCCCCUCAGAAGAAGUGCUGCCACCUGCCAGAUGAAGGAGCCUUUUGAGAGGCAGCUGGCAUCGUGAUUGGACUGUACUUUGGUCUGUUCCAAUCCAGCUUCAGCUCCAGAGACGGCAGGCGGAACGAGUCAACGGAGGCCGGGUGGACGAAGGCAUGCAGCUGAGUACAAUCCAGAAAACAACAGAGGAGGAGUGCAGUGGCCCAGGGCCAGAACAAACAGAGUAGCAUCAUAUGUCUCUUAGAAAACAUCAUAGUUUAGCCUUUGGUAUGAAAAAACGCCAUCAUAUACAUCGUAUAUUGUACAAAUAAGUCAAAGGAAAGAGACAUACAUUGUAGAAUUGUAGUAAUUGUGGGCU